UCUUAAGGAGAAGCUGAGAAACAAGCAGUAAAGUGGCUUUGGUCUGGAAAAUCCCUCAUCUCUCUGAUCUUCAUCAAACUAUUCACGAUGGGCGAUUGGCUCCGAGUCCUGUCCGCUUUGCUCCUGUGUUUACAUGGCACAACCGCAGCUGUUACCCUGACUCAGCCAUCGUCCAUCUCAUCCUCCCCGGGAAACACCGUCAAGAUCACCUGUACCAUGUCCGGAGGCAGCAUCGGCAGCUACCACACCAGCUGGUACCAGCAGAAGCUUGACGGCGCCCCUGUGCUUCUCUGGUCAAGUUACAACGGCAAACCUCAGGGGAUUCCUGAUCGAUUCUCUGGUUCUGCGGACUCAGGGAACAACGCCGUGCAUUUAACCAUCAGCGGUGUGCAAGCUGAGGACGCCGCCGAUUACUCCUGUGGUGCCGGGCAUAAGAGCAGUCCGUAUCACUUCUUUUUCGGUAAAGGGAGUGAACUGAGUUUGAAAAAACCACAGGGCCCUUCGGUGACUGUCCUUCCGCCUUCACCAGAUCAAAUCACAGCAAAGAGCAAGGCGACCCUGGUGUGUCUGGUGAAUGAUUUUAUCCCGGGAGCUGUGGAGGUCGAGUGGACUGUGGAUGGCAGUGCCAGAAGUCAAGGUGUUGAAACGAGUGCGAUCAAACAGCAGGCGGACAACACGUACAGUGUGAGCAGUUAUCUGACUCUGCCAACCUCCGAGUGGGAGUCACACGACCUGUAUUCCUGUGUGGUCAAACACCAGACUCUGGCCACUCCGCUCGAAAAAAGCAUCGCCAGAUCCAGUUGUAGAGAAGCUGAGAAACAAGCAGUAAAGUGGCUUUGGUCUGGAAAAUCCCUCAUCUCUCUGAUCUUCAUCAAACUAUUCACGAUGGGCGAUUGGCUCCGAGUCCUGUCCGCUUUGCUCCUGUGUUUACAUGGCACAACCGCAGCUGUUACCCUGACUCAGCCAUCGUCCAUCUCAUCCUCCCCGGGAAACACCGUCAAGAUCACCUGUACCAUGUCCGGAGGCAGCAUCGGCAGCUACUACACCAGCUGGUACCAGCAGAAGCCUGACGGCGCCCCUGUGCUUCUCUGGUCAAGUAACAACGGCAAACCUCAGGGGAUUCCUGAUCGAUUCUCUGGUUCUGUGGACUCAGGGAACAACGCCGUGCAUUUAACCAUCAGCGGUGUGCAAGCUGAGGACGCCGCCGAUUACUCCUGUGGUGCCUGGGAUAGCAGCAGUCCGUAUCACUUCUUUUUCGGUAAAGGGAGUGAACUGAGUUUGAAAAAACCACAGGGCCCUUCGGUGACUGUCCUUCCGCCUUCACCAGAUCAAAUCACAGCAAAGAGCAAGGCGACCCUGGUGUGUCUGGUGAAUGAUUUUAUUCCGGGAGCUGUGGAGGUCGAGUGGACUGUGGAUGGCAGUGCCAGAAGUCAAGGUGUUGAAACGAGUGCGAUCAAACAGCAGGCGGACAACACGUACAGUGUGAGCAGUUAUCUGACUCUGCCAACCUCCGAGUGGGAGUCACACGACCUGUAUUCCUGUGUGGUCAAACACCAGACUCUGGCCACUCCGCUCGAAAAAAGCAUCGCCAGAUCCAGUUGUACCUAAACCAGGAAUGUGCACCGAUAAUCGAAUGUACUAUUGUCAAUCUACCUUUAAUAAUAAUAAUUGUGUUUUGUAAUAUGUUGUCGAUUAUGUUCAUUUUGUCAUAAAUUUCGCAAAGAGAUAACAAUCCAUACACAGUUUGUACCGUUUGCUGGAAACUUUAGAUUGAAUUAUAUGUGUUCUCCUUGUGUCGUAUUACAGAAAUAUCGAUCAAUAAUAAACUGUCUCUGCAUUGGC
Molecule: non-coding RNA, 1842 nt
Organism: Callorhinchus milii (elephant shark)
Lineage: Eukaryota; Metazoa; Chordata; Chondrichthyes; Chimaeriformes; Callorhinchidae
Source: the annotation of a RefSeq genome assembly